Molecule: ribosomal RNA, 1402 nt
Filed under: uncultured bacterium
Lineage: Bacteria
Description: bacterial SSU rRNA
Rfam family: Bacterial small subunit ribosomal RNA
Source: RNAcentral
AGAGUUUGAUCCUGGCUCAGGAUGAACGCUGGCGGCGUGCCUAAUACAUGCAAGUCGAACGAACAAGAACAGCUAAGCUUGCUUAGCUGUUUGCGUUAGUGGCGAACGGGUGAGUAAUACAUAAAUAACCUGCCCCUAUGUUUGGAAUAACAGUUGGAAACGACUGCUAAUGCCAAAUACGUUAUCUUAAGGCAUCUUAAGAUAAUAAAAGAUGGGAUACAUCGCAAAGGGAUGGAUUUAUGGCGCAUUAGUUAGUUGGUGAGGUAACGGCUCACCAAGACGAUGAUGCGUAGCCGGCCUGAGAGGGUGACCGGCCACACUGGGACUGAGACACGGCCCAGACUCCUACGGGAGGCAGCAGUAGGGAAUUUUCGGCAAUGGGGGCAACCCUGACCGAGCGACGCCGCGUGAGUGAAGAAGGCCUUCGGGUUGUAAAGCUCUGUUGUAAGGGAAGAACCGUAGUGAUAGGGAAUGAUCACUACCUGACGGUACCUUACCAGAAAGCCACGGCUAACUACGUGCCAGCAGCCGCGGUAAUACGUAGGUGGCAAGCGUUAUCCGGAAUUAUUGGGCGUAAAGGGAGCGCAGGCGGUUUAUUAAGUCUGAUGUUAAAACACGGAGCUCAACUUCGUGAUGCAUUAGAAACUGGUAGACUAGAGUGCAGGAGAGGUGAGUGGAGUUCCAUGUGUAGCGGUAAAAUGCGUAGAUAUAUGGAGGAACACCAGUGGCGAAGGCGGCUCACUGGCCUGUAACUGACGCUGAGGCUCGAAAGCGUGGGGAGCAAAUAGGAUUAGAUACCCUAGUAGUCCACGCCGUAAACGAUGAAUACUAGGUGUUGGAGUAGAACUUCAGUGUCGCAGUUAACGCAAUAAGUAUUCCGCCUGGGGAGUAUGCGCGCAAGCGUAAAACUCAAAGGAAUUGACGGGGACCCGCACAAGCGGUGGAGUAUGUGGUUUAAUUCGAUGCAACGCGAAGAACCUUACCUGGUCUUGACAUAUAGGUGAAUAAUGUAGAGAUACAUUAGUCCUUCGGGACACCUGUGCAGGUGGUGCAUGGUUGUCGUCAGCUCGUGUCGUGAGAUGUUGGGUUAAGUCCCGCAACGAGCGCAACCCCCGUUGCUAGUUGCCAUCAUUAAGUUGGGCACUCUAGCGAGACUGCCGGUGACAAAUCGGAGGAAGGUGGGGGGGACGUCAAAUCAUCAUGCCCCCUAUGUCCUGGGGUACACACGUACUACAAUGGCUAUAACAGCAGGGAGGUAAGGAGUAAUCCGGAGCGAAUCCUCAAAAAUAGUCCCAGUUCGAAUUGUGGGGUGAAACCCGCCCACACGAAGUCGGAAUUGCUAGUAAUGGCAGGUCAGCAUACUGCCGUGAAUAAAAUCCCGGGUCUUGUACACACCGCCCGU